RNAcentral lists this ribosomal RNA (245 nucleotides) under uncultured Bifidobacterium sp. RNAcentral describes it as "partial 16S ribosomal RNA". It matches the Rfam family "Bacterial small subunit ribosomal RNA", at positions 524 to 768 of the family's 1533-position model. The record is from RNAcentral. Lineage: Bacteria; Bacillati; Actinomycetota; Actinomycetes; Bifidobacteriales; Bifidobacteriaceae.
UACGUAGGGUGCAAGCGUUAUCCGGAAUUAUUGGGCGUAAAGAGCUCGUAGGCGGUUUGUCACGCCUGGUGUGAAAGUCCAUCGCUUAACGGUGGAUCUGCGCCGGGUACGGGCAGGCUAGAGUGCAGUAGGGGAGAUUGGAAUUCCCGGUGUAACGGUGGAAUGUGUAGAUAUCGGGAAGAACACCAAUGGCGAAGGCAGAUCUCUGGGCUGUUACUGACGCUGAGGAGCGAAAGCAUGGGGAG